RNAcentral lists this ribosomal RNA (411 nucleotides) under Actinomycetes bacterium. RNAcentral describes it as "Actinobacteria bacterium partial 16S ribosomal RNA". It matches the Rfam family "Bacterial small subunit ribosomal RNA", at positions 355 to 776 of the family's 1533-position model. Lineage: Bacteria; Bacillati; Actinomycetota; Actinomycetes. The record is from RNAcentral.
UGGGGAAUAUUGCACAAUGGGCGCAAGCCUCAUGCAGCGACGCCGCGUGGGGGAUGACGGCCUUCGGGUUGUAAACUCCUUUCGCUAGGGACGAAGCUUUUUGUGACGGUACCUAGAUAAGAAGCACCGGCUAACUACGUGCCAGCAGCCGCGGUAAUACGUAGGGUGCGAGCGUUGUCCGGAAUUACUGGGCGUAAAGGGCUCGUAGGUGGUUUGUCGCGUCGUCUGUGAAAUUCCGGGGCUUAACUCCGGGCGUGCAGGCGAUACGGGCAUAACUUGAGUACUGUAGGGGUAACUGGAAUUCCUGGUGUAGCGGUGAAAUGCGCAGAUAUCAGGAGGAACACCGAUGGCGAAGGCAGGUUACUGGGCAGUUACUGACGCUGAGGAGCGAAAGCAUGGGUAGCGAACAGG